UACAGAGGGGGCAAGCGUUAUUCGGAAUUAUUGGGCGUAAAGGGCGCGUAGGCGGCUUGGCAAGUGGAUGGUGAAAUCCCUUGGCUUAACCGAGGAACUGCCGUCCAAACUGCUUUGCUUGAGACCGGGAGAGGUGAGUGGAAUUCCCAGUGUAGCGGUGAAAUGCGUAGAUAUUGGGAGGAACACCAGUGGCGAAGGCGGCUCACUGGACCGGUACUGACGCUGAUGCGCGAAAGCGUGGGGAGCAAACGGG
Molecule: ribosomal RNA, 253 nt
Filed under: uncultured bacterium
Lineage: Bacteria
Description: partial 16S ribosomal RNA
Rfam family: Bacterial small subunit ribosomal RNA
Source: RNAcentral